AGAUAUAGGCUUGAAACUUAAAGAAUUUGGCGGUAUUUUAAUCUUUUCAGAGGAACCUGUUCUAUAAUCGAUAUUCCACGUUAAAUUUUACUAAAUUAUUUAUAUAUCGUUGUCGAAAGAAUAAAUUUUCUAACAUUUUAAAGAAAAUAGAUGUCAAAUCAAGGUGUAGUUGAUAAUUUAGAAGAAAUGGGUUACAAUAAAUUUAUUUAGAAAAUUUUGGAAGGAGGAUUUGAAAGUAAAUUAAU
RNAcentral lists this ribosomal RNA (245 nucleotides) under Callopsylla caspia gaiskii. RNAcentral describes it as "partial 12S ribosomal RNA". The record is from RNAcentral. Lineage: Eukaryota; Metazoa; Arthropoda; Insecta; Siphonaptera; Ceratophyllidae.